GACCCUAUAGAGUUUAAUAUUUUUUUAAUAAAUUAUUUUUUAGAAUUUUAUAUUAUUUUAUUAAUAAAAUAUUUAAUUGGGGUGAUUGAAAAAUUAAAUUAACUUUUUUUAUAUAAAAACAUUGAUUUAUGAUAAUUUGAUCCAUUUUUUAUGAUUAUAAGAUUAAAUUACCUUAGGGAUAACAGCGUAAUUUUUUUAAAGAGUUCAAAUCGAAAAAAAAGAUUGCGACCUCGAUGUUGGAUUAAAAUUUAUAUUUGGUGUAGAAGCUAAAUUUAUUGGGUCUGUUCGACCUUUAAAAUUUUACAUGAUCUGA
This 313-nucleotide ribosomal RNA is filed under the name Pharaxonotha kirschii. RNAcentral describes it as "partial 16S ribosomal RNA". The stretch from base 178 to 313 matches the Rfam family "Bacterial large subunit ribosomal RNA", at positions 2473 to 2608 of the family's 2925-position model. Lineage: Eukaryota; Metazoa; Arthropoda; Insecta; Coleoptera; Erotylidae. The record is from RNAcentral.